GACGAACGCUGGCGGCGUGCCUAAUACAUGCAAGUCGAGCGGACGGAUGGGAGCUUGCUCCCAGACCGUCAGCGGCGGACGGGUGAGUAACACGUGGGCAACCUGCCUGUAAGACUGGGAUAACUCCGGGAAACCGGGGCUAAUACCGGAUAACUCUUUCCCUCACAUGAGGGAAAGCUGAAAGAUGGCAUCUCGCUAUCACUUACAGAUGGGCCCGCGGCGCAUUAGCUAGUUGGUGAGGUAACGGCUCACCAAGGCGACGAUGCGUAGCCGACCUGAGAGGGUGAUCGGCCACACUGGGACUGAGACACGGCCCAGACUCCUACGGGAGGCAGCAGUAGGGAAUCUUCCGCAAUGGACGAAAGUCUGACGGAGCAACGCCGCGUGAGUGAUGAAGGUUUUCGGAUCGCAAAACUCUGUUGUCAGGGAAGAACAAGUACCGGAGUAACUGCCGGUACCUUGACGGUACCUGACCAGAAAGCCACGGCUAACUACGUG
Molecule: ribosomal RNA, 498 nt
Filed under: uncultured bacterium
Lineage: Bacteria
Description: partial 16S ribosomal RNA
Rfam family: Bacterial small subunit ribosomal RNA
Source: RNAcentral